This is a small nucleolar RNA of Octodon degus (degu), 128 nucleotides long. Lineage: Eukaryota; Metazoa; Chordata; Mammalia; Rodentia; Octodontidae. The record is from Ensembl.
GGCACUUGUGUUUGGUUUCGUCUAAAUUGUGGACUAAACUUAAUCAACAGGUGCAAAAAAUAAAUCCUCUUUUGCAACCCAGAACUCAUUGUUUGGUGUGAGUUUUAAUACCUAUAAGAAGGAAUAUU